CAGGGGGGGGGGGGGUCCCUCAGCCUGAAUUGCAAGAAGGCACAGGCCAGGCCAAGGGACCCCACCGGUGCAUG
Molecule: microRNA precursor, 74 nt
Filed under: Myotis davidii
Lineage: Eukaryota; Metazoa; Chordata; Mammalia; Chiroptera; Vespertilionidae
Description: mir-9193 microRNA precursor family
Rfam family: mir-9193 microRNA precursor family
Source: Rfam by way of RNAcentral